GUCAGAACAAGUUUGUUUCAGUCGAGAUUAAUGCUACCGGUGGAAAUUUUGCUUUAUUGGAUAUUCAGGACAAAUAUGAAAAAAUGAAUCAUCAGCGUGCACAGUCCCUACUGCUAUCUCCAAUAUGUGUUGUGCCGAUUUUAUGGAACUCGAUCUAUAAUAAGACAUCAGAUAUAAGAAAACAAAUGAGGUUCCCUCCGUCCAUCUUGGUGAUAGCUUCCCGGGCGAUAAUGGAAUUGCGCUAGUGCUACAGCAAUGAGAAGCAGCAAACAUAUUUUGUACAAAGUUUUCUGACUCUAAAAAACUGUAAUAAAUA
Molecule: long non-coding RNA, 316 nt
Organism: Armigeres subalbatus
Lineage: Eukaryota; Metazoa; Arthropoda; Insecta; Diptera; Culicidae
Exons: 3
Source: RefSeq, a predicted model, not a curated record